RNAcentral lists this transfer RNA (54 nucleotides) under Goggia lineata. Its description in RNAcentral is "partial tRNA-Cys". Lineage: Eukaryota; Metazoa; Chordata; Lepidosauria; Squamata; Gekkonidae. The record is from RNAcentral.
UUAGAUUGCAAGUCUGGCAAAGCACCCCAAAAGGYGCCGGGGCUUCUCCCGUUU